Molecule: long non-coding RNA, 631 nt
Filed under: Capsicum annuum
Lineage: Eukaryota; Viridiplantae; Streptophyta; Magnoliopsida; Solanales; Solanaceae
Description: long non-coding RNA (CANN_LNC000791)
Source: RNAcentral
AAAAAAGAAGAAAAAGAUUAAAAGAUAAAAAAAGAUAACAAACUCUAAAAUUUAAAAUUUGGAGUUGGAGAACUUUUUAAAAAAUUAAAAUACUUUUAAAAAUUAAACUUUACAUCCCAAUUAACUUAAUCACAAUUUAACAAAAACUUUUACUUUAUCUGAUAAAAAUUGUCACCAUUUUUAAUUUAAAACUCCCUCUUAAUUUUCUCAAUAAAUCUUCUCUGUGUUAAUUCAAUCCUCUUCCUCUACCAAAUUGGUGUUGAAGCUCGAUAAACCAACUUUGAGAGAAGUGAUGAUCGAGAAAGCGACAUUCUGUUUUCAGCUUUGGGUUCAACUUCAAAACCAAUUAGAUUGGCCAUUCUCAAACUCAACAAAAAAAUACCUGAAAGUAAAAGUCUACUUCACUUUGGAAAGUAGGACAACUACACUUUCGAAAGUUCAAGACGAUGAUAUUCUGCUGAUGAGAAAAUGUUUACAGUUACUGUUGGCCGGAAAAUUAUAGCGUUCACCAUUGAUUUUCUGAUUGUAUUCUUCAUCUUCUCUGCUGUACUUGUAAUUGUGUUCAAUGGAGUUGCGGACAUGGUCGACUUCUAGGAUACUUAUGGCCUUUAACACCAUAGCUAUGCANNNN